This is a long non-coding RNA of Mytilus californianus (California mussel), 2188 nucleotides long. RefSeq lists it as uncharacterized. NCBI's taxonomy places the organism in Eukaryota, Metazoa, Mollusca, Bivalvia, Mytilida, Mytilidae. The transcript has 3 exons. The record is from RefSeq and is a predicted model, not a curated record.
AUAAAGAUUUCACAAAAAGUAUUACUAUUAAUUCAGAAAUUAAUGCGAUGUUUUUAUUAUUCCGAAAAAUGCGACAGGGUUGUAAUCGCAAUAAUUUAAACUUGCAUUAAUGAUUUUGAAAUUUUGUAUAUGAAGUGAACAGGAUUUGUCUCAAUAUCGCAAAAUUUAAAAUCGCACUUUAGUUAAAAUGACAAUAUCUCAAUAAUAAAUGCACGCAAUAAUUCUGAAUUUACAGUAUUUUAAUUACAAUACACCUUAUCAUUAUUUGUCCGCCAUUACUGGACUUCACACAGGUUCCCCGUAAAAUUUUGACAUCAUAAUACAAAAUAUAUGACGCCACAAUGGAAAAGGGAUUGUUGUAUGACGUCAAUAGUUCAAGCAGGACAGAUUCUCGGGUCAGCCGGGAAUAGGGAUAAGGUGUAUAUAAAAAAGAUGUGGUAUGAUUGCCAAUGAGACAACUCUCCACAAGAGACCAAAUGACACAGAAAUUAACAACUAUAGGUCACCGUACAGCCUUCAACAAUGAGCAAUGCCCAUACCACAUAGUCAGCUAUAAAAGGCCCCGAAAUGACAAAUGUAAAACAAUUCAAAUGAGAAAACAAACGACCUUAGGCCUUGAAAAAGGCGCUUAACUCAUCAGAUGGAUACAAAUAAAAUACAUCUAACAAAAACACAGAGUGGACGUGGCGGGUCUAAGUACUGAUCUGAAAGUACUUGAAGUAUAAACUGACAGCUAGUUCAAAGCCACUAACAACUAAUAAAAAUAAUCAUGCAUCUAACAUGUCUACGACUAAAUACAAGUAUGUCAUUAUGCACUUCCUAUUUUUCUUAUUUUUGUGACUUGUGUGUGGACCAUACAACUUAUAGCUAUUUAUCCACCAUGACUGGACAUUACAAAGGUUCCUGUAAAAUUUGUUUGUCACUUUUUAACUAUGAGGCAAACCUAUACCAUGUAUGGACGGCUUUAAUCGGUCCUGACAAGAAAAAUAUGAAACAAUUCAAUUGAGAAAAUUAAAAGUCCAAUUUAUUACAAAACAAUUAACGAAAACAAGAGAUAUUGCAUGACAGUACAUGAAACAACAACAACCACUGAACUACAGGCUCCUGACUUUGGACAGGCACAUAUAGAAUGUGGAGUUAAACUAAAUUUGAUUGCACCAACCGGGACAGUGGUGUUGUGGCACAAUAUUCGAACAAACUAUGCAAAACAUUAAAAGAAAAACAAAUAUGACAAACAGCAAAACACAACAACCACUCAAUUACAUGCUCCUGACUUGGUACAGGCACAUAGAAUAUGGUAGGCUAUUAAAUCCCUACCUACCUACCCUAACUUUUUUUUUAGAUGUAACUGGAACCACACAUACUAUUUUAUAGAGAACAUACGUAUGAUUGAAGAGAUUGUUGUAGCUUAAGCUAAAUGUGCAUGUGUUUAAAAAUAAUAUUUAGUAUGGUUUUAAUUGAUUGAUAACAAAAUCAAUUUUUAUACCAAUAAAAAACAAUAUUCACUUCUUUUAAAAGAUCUGGGCCAUUUGAAGUUAGAUGAAAGAUGAUCUGCAUCAAUGCGUUUAUGGAAAAUACCAAUUGUUUUGAGAAUUGGCUCGUCAGACGUCAGUGAACGAGACUUAUGACUUUAUGUUCAUGAUUUUCAACAGAACUAUUAAAAAAAAAAUGGUGCAGAUCAACAGUAUCUGGGAAUUUACUCAUAAAGAAAAGAGAGCUGGAGACUCAGAGAGGCAGGAAAAGAACAGACCAGGGAAUCACAGAUCCAUAUCAGAUAAUAAAAUUGAAUCGAAAAUUAAAAGUUUGAAUUUUAUGUUAUUGAAACUAUUAAUUUACAAACUUCCUGAAAAUUUGGAUUUUUUUAUUAUUGUUUAGAGGCUAUGGGUAUUUGACCAUCAUCAAUGUGUAAGCACAUUGAUUUUCAUUCAACUUUAAGAACUUCUUUUUAGAUUUUUAGGGGAAUUUCUGUUGUAUAAGUUUCAAAGUUUUGUAUGGAUAUCCACAUUUUGAAUCAUUCUGAAUGUUUUCUGAAUAUAUCUGAAUCCUUCUGAAUCUUUCUGAAUCCAUCUGAAUGUUGUCUGGAUAUUUCUGAAUGUUGUCUGGAUAUUUCUGAAUGUUGUCUGAUUAUUUCUUAAUCUUUCUGAUUAAGUUCAGAAGUUUUCUGAAAUCAUUCUGAAUAAUGUCUUAA